GUACCUUUGUUAGGCCUGAGGGUGCCCCCCUCUUCACCCUGUGUUCAUGGCUCUGCUCGCUCUCAGAUGGUGGGGUUUGUAGUUUUGCCUGAGGUGCUCGCUGCCGCUCCUCUUGCUUGAUCCAGAAUCGGGCAAAAAUUACAUCUAGAUGCUGCUGGACGUCGCUGUAAGCCUCCACCUCAGAUAGAUGACUUUUCUCGCAUGGUGGGCUUGCCGCCGCCUAUUUAGACAUGCCAUGUGCUUGGCUGCCCCAUUGCUGUGGUUCAUCAGGUUGCAGGUUCGGUCUGUGUCGGCUGCUGCUCAUUAAGAGGUUUUUGCAAGGCAGGUGCUCUGAGCAAUUGCUGCCUCUUGCCUCUUGAGUUUAGCUCCACACAGCCAGG
Molecule: non-coding RNA, 380 nt
Organism: Pelobates cultripes (western spadefoot toad)
Lineage: Eukaryota; Metazoa; Chordata; Amphibia; Anura; Pelobatidae
Source: the annotation of a GenBank genome assembly